GAGUGUGGGGCGUAGGCCUUGCUGACAAGAUAUGUAUAUUUUUAAGUGGUAGCAAGCACCUGCACAGUGUGUGUAUCUCAUGCAAGGUUCUUGGAUUGAAGUUCGAGAUAUAAUGAGUUGUUUUUCUUCAUUUAUUUCAUCUACAAGGACGUUUAAUUCCUCCGAAAAGUUGGGGUUUCUGUUUUUGAGGUUGUGUCUACUAAGUUCGUAAGUUGGAAACUUGUUAAUCCAUCUUCUUAUAGAGAUUUUCCUGUGUUCUUGGAAUUUUUUUUAUUGUUAUGAACCUUUUGUACAUUUUAU
Molecule: long non-coding RNA, 300 nt
Filed under: Phoenix dactylifera (date palm)
Lineage: Eukaryota; Viridiplantae; Streptophyta; Magnoliopsida; Arecales; Arecaceae
Description: long non-coding RNA (PDAC_LNC013441)
Source: RNAcentral